UACCUGCAGCCCAAGUGGUGAUCGCUAUUAUUGGGCCUAAAACGUCCGUAGCCGGUUCUAUAAAUGCCUGGGUAAAUCGUACGGCUUAACCGUACGAAUUCCGGGUAGACUGUUCAACUUGGGACCGGGAUAGGCUAGAGGUACUCCUGGGGUAGAGGUGAAAUUCUGUAAUCCUAGGGGGACCACCAGUGGCGAAGGCGUCUAGCUAGAACGGGUCUGACGGUGAGGGACGAAGCCUUGGGGAGCAAACGGGAUUAGAUACCCCGGUAGUCCAGGGUGUAAACGCUGCUCGCUUGAUGUUAGUCGGGCUCCGAGCCCAACUAGUGUCGGAGAGAAGUUGUUAAGCGAGCUGCCUGGGAAGUACGGUCGCAAGACUGAAACUUAAGGAAUUGGCGGGGAGCACCGCAACGGGUGGAGCGUGCGGUUU
This 427-nucleotide ribosomal RNA is filed under the name uncultured archaeon. RNAcentral describes it as "bacterial SSU rRNA". It matches the Rfam family "Archaeal small subunit ribosomal RNA", at positions 474 to 903 of the family's 1478-position model. The record is from RNAcentral.